Molecule: ribosomal RNA, 253 nt
Filed under: uncultured bacterium
Lineage: Bacteria
Description: partial 16S ribosomal RNA
Rfam family: Bacterial small subunit ribosomal RNA
Source: RNAcentral
UACGGAGGGUGCAAGCGUUAUCCGGAUUCACUGGGUUUAAAGGGUGCGUAGGUGGGAAUGUAAGUCAGUGGUGAAAUCUCCGUGCUUAACACGGAAACUGCCAUUGAUACUAUGUUUCUUGAAUUAUCUGGAGGUCAGCGGAAUAUGUCAUGUAGCGGUGAAAUGCUUAGAUAUGACAUAGAACACCAAUUGCGAAGGCAGCUGGCUACAGGUGGAUUGACACUGAGGCACGGAAGCGUGGGGAUCAAACAGG